Molecule: ribosomal RNA, 465 nt
Filed under: uncultured bacterium
Lineage: Bacteria
Description: bacterial SSU rRNA
Rfam family: Bacterial small subunit ribosomal RNA
Source: RNAcentral
CCUANGGGUGGCAGCAGUCGAGAAUUUUUCACAAUGGGGGAAACCCUGAUGGAGCGACGCCGCGUGGGGGAUGAAGGGCUUCGGCUCGUAAACCCCUGUCAUUUGUGACCAAGGUUGCCGGUUUAAUACAACGGUAACUUGAUGGUAGCGAAAGAGGAAGGGACGGCUAACUCUGUGCCAGCAGCCGCGGUAAUACAGAGGUCCCAAGCGUUGUUCGGAUUUACUGGGCGUAAAGGGUGCGUAGGUGGCGGAGUAAGUCUGAUGUGAAAUAUAGCAGCUUAACUGUUAGGGUGCCAUUGAUACUGCAGGGCUUGAGUACAGAUGAGGUAGGCGGAAUUGACGGUGUAGCGGUGAAAUGCAUAGAUAUCGUCAAGAACACCUAUAGCGAAGGCAGCUUACUAAGCUGUAACUGACGCUGAGGCACGAAAGUGUGGGGAUCAAACAGGAUUAGAUACCCUGNUANUC